RNAcentral lists this ribosomal RNA (417 nucleotides) under Rossia pacifica. RNAcentral's name for it is "partial 12S ribosomal RNA". The record is from RNAcentral. Lineage: Eukaryota; Metazoa; Mollusca; Cephalopoda; Sepiida; Sepiolidae.
UUCUUUAUUUUAAAAAUUUUUAUUACUUAAGUAGUGUGAACAAUUAAUUUAUAGAGAGUAAUUAUAUUAUUAUUAGAAUGUUUGAAACUUAAAAGGCUUGGCGGUGUUAUAUAUCCUUCCAGGGGAGCUUGCUUAUUAAUUUGAUAACCCCCAAUUUAUACUUACUUUUUUUUGAAUAAUUAGAUAAAUCAGUUUGUGUAUUGCUGUCAUCAGUUUAUUUUGUAAAAAUUUUAUAAGAAACUUAAUAAUGAAUUAAUUACGAUGUCAAGUCAAAAUGCAGCUAAUAAAAAAGGUUUAUAAAGUGAGCUACAAUUUAUAAUUUUUAAAUCGGAUUAAAUUAUGUAAUUGAUUUAUGAAGUUGGACUUGGUAGUAAUAUUAUAAAUAGUAAGUUUUUAUGAAUUAGGUUUUAUAAUGCG